Molecule: long non-coding RNA, 1294 nt
Filed under: Homo sapiens (human)
Lineage: Eukaryota; Metazoa; Chordata; Mammalia; Primates; Hominidae
Description: long non-coding RNA NONHSAT208774.1
Source: RNAcentral
AUUCAGAAAUUGGUAUUAGCAGGAAGAAUGGGAGAAGCCAUUGAAACAACACAACAGUUAUACCCAAGUUUACUUGAAAGAAAUCCUAAUCUCCUUUUCACAUUAAAAGUGCGUCAGUUUAUAGAAAUGGUGAAUGGUACAGAUAGUGAAGUACGAUGUUUGGGAGGCCGAAGUCCAAAGUCUCAAGACAGUUAUCCUGUUAGUCCUCGACCUUUUAGUAGUCCAAGUAUGAGCCCCAGCCAUGGAAUGAAUAUCCACAAUUUAGCAUCAGGCAAAGGAAGCACCGCACAUUUUUCAGGUUUUGAAAGUUGUAGUAAUGGUGUAAUAUCAAAUAAAGCACAUCAAUCAUAUUGCCAUAGUAAUAAACACCAGUCAUCCAACUUGAAUGUACCAGAACUAAACAGUAUAAAUAUGUCAAGAUCACAGCAAGUUAAUAACUUCACCAGUAAUGAUGUAGACAUGGAAACAGAUCACUACUCCAAUGGAGUUGGAGAAACUUCAUCCAAUGGUUUCCUAAAUGGUAGCUCUAAACAUGACCACGAAAUGGAAGAUUGUGACACCGAAAUGGGUCUGCAGUGAUAUUUCUUACAUUUUUAAUAAAAAAUGAUGGCUACAAGAAGUUGAUUCAAGUCAGUUGAGACGCCAGUUGUGUGGAGGAAGUCAGGCCGCCAUAGAAAGAAUGAUCCACUUUGGACGAGAGCUGCAAGCAAUGAGUGAACAGCUAAGGAGAGACUGUGGCAAGAACACUGCAAACAAAAAAAUGUUGAAGGAUGCAUUCAGUCUACUAGCAUAUUCAGAUCCCUGGAACAGCCCAGUUGGAAAUCAGCUUGACCCGAUUCAGAGAGAACCUGUGUGCUCAGCUCUUAACAGUGCAAUAUUAGAAACCCACAAUCUGCCAAAGCAACCUCCACUUGCCCUAGCAAUGGGACAGGCCACACAAUGUCUAGGACUGAUGGCUCGAUCAGGAAUUGGAUCCUGCGCAUUUGCCACAGUGGAAGACUACCUACAUUAGCUAUGCAUUUCAAGAGCUCACACUUAUAUUGUGGCAUAUAGUCAACAUGGAAGUAGACCAGCUCUGCUGAUUUGAAAUUUAGAUUUUUUAAAUUAUGUACUGGGGACAGGUUUUUGUCGCUUUACAUUGCUUCCUAGUUUACAGCAUGAUGCAAAUGAUUUUCUAACUUAGUGUUAGGAGAAAUUAUUUUCCAUCUUUAACCUCUUAGUUGUCUAAGAGUUAAAUAUUACUGAAUUUCAGACGUUCAAAUUGAUCAUCACAAAUCCUUUAAAACAAUUACCU